RNAcentral lists this long non-coding RNA (8126 nucleotides) under Sus scrofa (pig). RNAcentral's name for it is "lncRNA (ENSSSCG00055012169.1)". The record is from RNAcentral. Lineage: Eukaryota; Metazoa; Chordata; Mammalia; Artiodactyla; Suidae.
CAUUUUUAACUAAAAAAUCAUGGGAAAUUAAAAAUAUAUGUAUAUAUUCCUGGAAUGGGGAAGGCCUUUUACUAGUAUGGCACAAAACUCAGAAGUUAACAACAAAUUUCACCUUUACAUAAACUAUCAUAGACAAAAAAUUUACAGCUCUUAUCACAGACAGAACACUUAUAAAUCAAGCCAAUAGACAAUGGAUAAAGGAUAUAAAUAGACACUUUAUAUGAAAGGAUGUACAGUGUAUCUCACACACUUAUUUUGUUCUCAUUUAUUGAAAUGCUUAUUCCAUACUUUGAUAUCUGUGUUACCUGUCACAUUGACAGUGAAGAAGAUACUUGAAAACCCUCUUAUGGGUAAGUAAGGUACACGAAAACAUACUCUCAUACAUCUCUGGAGAGAGUUUAAGUUGGUGAACGUUAAGGAAAGGCAAAUUGAUACCUUUAACAAUUAUGAAUUCAUAUCAGUUUUGACCUAAAAAAUUCCAUUUCUAGAAAAUUAAGAAAUAUACAAGUGAAAUGAGAUAUGUACAAAUUUAUCUUAUACAGUAUGAUGGCAAGAAGUUUGGAAAUAGUUUAGUUAUUUAGCAGUAGGUCACAUAUUAGAGAAUUUAUCAACCAUUUUAUAGAGUGAAAUAUCAUACAGCCAUAAAAAUAAAAUAGAAAAUUUCAUGUAAUGACAUUGAAAGUUCUAAAAAGAGAAUGUUAUUUUUAAAAAAGCAAGACUGGAAUUUUGUACUUAAAGCAUAUAUGACAUAUGUAACCUUAUUUAUGGAAGGAUACAGAAGAAACUGAUAAUGUUUAUUGUCUUCAGGGAGGGGAACAGAAUGACAUUUUGGAAAGUGGAGAGAAGACUUUUUUGGAUUUUGAAUCAAUUGAGUGUAUUAACUAUUCAAAUCUUUAAUUUGGAAUUUAAAAAGAAAAUUAUUAAAUGCAUUAACUUUAUAUUGUUCUGAAUUUUGGAAGUUGUAGAAAAUAACCUCAUUACCUAGAUGUGGAUUCCUGAAUUCUUUAAUUUAAAAUUUGAAAAUAAUGAAUGUUGGCUAGUUACAACAAAGUUGUUACUAUUGUUUUUAUUAAUAACUAGAUGUUGUAGAAGAUGUAAAAGAGGAGUGUCAAAAAUAUGGACCAGUAGUAUCUCUGCUUGUUCCAAAAGAAAAUCCUGGCAGAGGACAAGUCUUUGUUGAGUAUGCAAAUGCUGGUGAUUCCAAAGCUGCUCAGAAAUUACUGACUGGAAGGAUGUUUGAUGGGAAGUUUGUUGUGGCUACCUUCUACCCGCUGAGUGCCUACAAGAGGGGAUAUCUGUAUCAAACUUUGCUUUAAUCAGUAACCUAAGGACUAUUUCCUGUUUCUCCUCUUCCAUUUCCUUGGGUUAUUGUAUUCUACAUCUGAAUGCAGAAGUACCCCUACCAUUUUGAGGGAAUACUUUGUACACUUAUUCAGUCCUACUAAUGUGCAGCCAUUGGUUAAGCAGUGACUGCAUUGCACACAUUUGGCACUGAGUAGGACAAGACCUCUCAGCUAUAUAUUGAGGGGCUUUAGAGCAUCCAUGUGGGCAACCUUUUUUUGUGCAGUAGGGCAAGUGCUGCUCUUCAGUAUGUAACCUAAACAAAUAUUAACUAUUUCAUGUGAUCAUGAGGCAAAGAUGAAUAAUAUGUUGUAGUGAAUAUUAACAAAUAUGUUAGAGUUGGUGACAUCACUUACAGAUUAUUCCUUUAUGUUGUCAGAUGGUUCUUCCUUAUUGUUGAUAUCCAUGGUUGGCACUGGAUGCUCUCAGUAAUGUUAAGUAAUCAUCAAGCAACAGUUCCCUGCUGUGUUCUUAACACUGAGUUAUGAAUUUUUUUUUAAAGGAGUACUGUAGUACUGAAUAUUCCUUUAAAGAAACUGCAGUGAGCCUAUCUGCAUUUUUAAAAUUAAGGCUUUUAAAAUAGAAAGCUGAUGCUUGAUCUUGCACAAUUUUUAUGUCUAGUAUGUAUGUUUGAGUGAGUGUGCAGUUGUGAAAGGUUAGAGAAAAUUUGAGUCAGUGUUCUUUAUAGUGUGAGUCUUGUAAGUUAAUAUAGUCUAUGCCCAUCUCUUCCCUACCUGUUUAAUAUCUGUAAGAUUUAGGAUACAAAUUUUUUGGAAGUUAGUUUCUUUGAUAGAAUGAAAGGAGAAAAUAGUUCAUUCCUGAGAGGCCCAGAACAGAUGAGUAUAGCCUGAGUUAUAUUGAAACUUUCUAAAGUGAACAAACUGUCUUAAAAAAGUUUUGGUAAAUUGCCCCAUCCUUCCAUCUGCUUUAGACCCUGCGUUAGCUCAUCUGUUCUGUACUGAAUCUUCUAUGAACACUGUAAGAUUUCUCAAGAUAAGAGUUCUGCCUACUAUGAUGGAAAAUUGAAGUGGGUCAAAAAGAAAGAAUUAGUUGUUCAGUGAAGGGAAAAGGGGGGGAAAAAAAAGACAGGGUGCAUAAUCAAGGAUUUUUUAUUUCUUCCCUUCUCUCUCAUCUCCCUUCCACUCCUUCUUUUCCUCUUCCUCCAUUCUGUACCUCUAUCCUGAAGAGAGGUUAGAGGAAAGCAUCCCCGGUGGUCUGGCUGUUGACUGCGAGGAAGUAAACAAAGGUGUAGCUCUCAUAAGGUGGAAGUAGAAAGGAAGAAAAGCCCAUAAAGAAUUCUUAAAAGCAUUAGCAAUCUAAUGUGUCCCUGGGUAGAGGUUACUAGUAUGCAGAAGUUCACAGACACAGAUUGAUUAUGUGGUUUUAGGAAUUAUAAUUAGGCAUUCUACCCACUUUAUAGAAGAUUGUCUUCAAAGGUUUAAAUCUUAGGAAACCUUUAUAAAGCACUGAUUAUACAAAAAAAAGUUAUAUACAGGUUCUGAAUUUUUUCUUACCUAAAUGAAAAUUUUAUUUAUUUAUUUUUUUCCUAAGGAAAAAGUCUUAUAUACCUUACCCUGCUGGAAGCCUCCUCAUAUAGUCUUUCUUUGUAUGUGCCAUGCAGGUUAUUGAGAGCCCAAUUAAGAAUUUAUGGGUUAGAGAAUGAAUUAUUAUACCCUGUUCAAACAAUUACUAUUUGAUAUUUUAAUUACAGUUAAUCUGAUUAUUCAGGACUCUCCUUAAUAUUUAUUAAGAAACCAAAUUUUCUAUAAUAAGGAGGCUGAUUAGUGAAUUGCCAAAAGGUCUUGUGGCCUGAUGCCCAAGGGAAAAUUGUAUAGUAAGCUUCUAAUAUGUGCUCUUGGAAGGACAGUAAUUUUUCGUUUUGGUACUUUCAGAGGUUGAUUAGCUGCUCUGGUUUCAUAUAAAAAUUGAAGAGAGUAUAGCCAGUAUUUUGGAGACCUAAGCUUUCCUAAAACAUAACUGUUUGUGUGGGUAGCAGCUUAAAUGGUGAUUAAAAAUACCAGGUCCUUCCAUACAUGCUGAUGAACACAGAAUGCAGAUGAAUUCUUUUAAAGGGCAAGUAUUCUAAGUUAGCAUGUAUACCUUUUUCAUCCCUAUCCCCACCAAAAGAAAAAUCCUUACAAAUAAACUGCAGAUAGGCUGCUAAGCUUAAUGAUGCAGUAUGCUGCUAACAUCUUGAUGCUGAAUUUCACAGCAUUCUUUGAUCAUCUUCUUAUUACUGAUGUAUUCAUGCAUAUAUGUAGUGUUUAACACUGUAGAAUUUUAUUACAGGAGAUGCUAACUAGAUUUUUAAGGGAGCUGAGGGAAUAUCGAUGACCCUAAGUAACCUUGCAUUGAAUUAAAUAUUUUAUAUUUAAGCCACAGAAUUGAAGAGAUGCCUCCUGUGAUUUAAAUUAUAGCUCUUAGCCCAUUACUACCAAAGAUGACAUUUGCAGAUUCUCCCUCCCUCCUCUGAUAUUAUAAGAAGUUUAAUCUUGGUAUCUUUCUUUAACCUAAACCAAAUAUUAUUAAAGAUGCAAUUUUCAUGUUCCUUUUAGGAUGGAACAUAUACAGAGAUUUUGACUCCUUGAAGUUAUUAAAAACAUAGAAGUUUUCUUUUUGAGAGGUAGGGUAAACAGCUGAGCGUUCAUGUCACUUAACCCCUACCAUUUGGGAAAAUUUUAUCUCAGGUAGUUUUUCUUUCCCUAAAUUAAUAUCUACGGUUCUUUACUCUUGCCUUCUAGUUUCUUCUUUAUUGUUCCAUGGUAUUGUCAUGGUACAUUUUUGUCCCAGAAAAGGCAUAUGAGUUGAUUAUUCUAUAGGAAAUCUUUGGUUCUUUGGAAACAUAUUUGGAGGAGGUGGCUAGCUAGCCACUGUCAAAACUUGUGAAAAACUUUAAAUGCUGUAUUUAGAGGAGGAGAAUAAGUAGAGUCGGACACCUCAGUAAAAGCACUGGCUAAAAGAAAUUAUUUGCUGCAUUUUUAAAGGAAUAAUAACAAAAUUAUCCUCUUGCAAUAAGAAAUUGCAUUUAUUGUUACUGGAUGUCUUCCUUGUUUUGUAACCAUCAGUAUAGCAACCCUUCGCAGAAAAGUUCCCUCUGCUAUGCCUUGAGCCAUUACUAUGGCUGCUUUUAGAAGUUUUACUCAUCCUUCUCCCUGUUUUCAUUGCCUUCUAGAUUCAUGUUACUAGGAUUUGUAUUUUACCUUUGAGCAAAUUUAUUGUAAGAAAUGCUGCCGGAAAAAGUGCUGCCAUGUAAAGGAAGAUGAAGAGAAACUAUGGGUAUAAGGUUUGUUUUCAUCUUAGUACACUGGACUUUCACCCUGGUAAGGGUAUCAGUUACCUUUCUGGGAUAAACUGUAGUCAGGAUAGCUCAUUUGAGUUUAUUUCUCAAAUGCAGAUAACUGGCAUUUUGGCAUCAUUUUCUUCUUAGUUUUAUAUUCUGACCCUACAGAAUUAGGCCUGUUUUAGAUAAUUUCUAUUAUUAGUUAAUACUUGGCAGCAUGACAUUUAAUUUUUUUAUAAUUUAAUGAAAAUCAGCACCAUAGUAACUAAUGGUAAUUGUAACAGCAUAGUUACUGGGUGAGGGAGUGGAGGAGACACUCAGUAACAACGUGUUUUAUCUGGACUUUUAUGCAAGGGUACAUGGCUUUAUUCAGAUUAGGGUACAGAUGGAAUUGCAUCAUGGCUUUUAGUCUGGUGGAUAUGUAGACAGUCAAAGAUUUAAGCAAGUGCCUUGUGUUUCCUGGAAAAUACUGAAACUCAUUUGGGUGUAAGCUUCCCAGAUGAUGAUUAAUUAUUGCACCUUUGCCUUUUCCUUGGAAUAAUUUUUGGAUUGAGUCGUGUAGUAUAAAACUCCAAAAUUCCCUUGGUUUACCUUCUUUCUGUAUGUAUAAAACUAUUCAUAUUUGGGUUUUUUUUUCCUGAUAUUACAUGUAAUGGAAAGCCAGAGCUGUCUGGCAGAAUCUAAUUGUUCAUUGGAUCUAGUUCCAUUUUUAGUAUUAGGUUCCUUCUUCAAAUCUUAUUACUGUAGCUCUCUAAUAUAAUUUAUUUAUUUCUUAUCAACUGUGGUCACAAUAUAGACCAGUCUUUGGUCACAGUUAGCUCAAAAGAAUUUCCAUUUCUUCUUAAGGUGCUCAAUAAAUCACCUUUACUUUGAGAUGGUAGCCUUUUCAGGCUAGUGUUACUUUCUCUCUUUCUCAAUGAAUAUAUGAAUGUCAAAUCUCUAUGAUACGGAAUUCAUCUGAGCCUCUUGUGGUUUAUUUGGAUAAGUUAUGUUUUCUUAGUUAUAGAGGAACGUGGAUGUUUUGGUCUUUGAAGUACCCCAAAUUUUAAAGGUUUUGUUUUGGUAGGUUAGCUGCUUCUCUACCUGACACCACAGGAUGUAUCAUGCUUGUUUUCUUAGCCACUUCCCCUCCCACAGUGUUUUUCACUGCUUUUUAAGUUAUGUAAUGACCAGUAGGUUUACACAGUGACAUACAAUUGACAAGUACUUGGGAAUAUUUAAGAAGGUAAACAAUUUUAACUAUUUUUGCUGCAAUUUUAUAGGAGAAAUGGGCUGUAAAAGAAAUACCUAUAAACUAGAGAGCAUUUAGGAAAUUGUAUAUUUUAUAGGUGGUCGUGAAGGUGACCUUCAGGAUAUGAUACAUAGUUUACACAACCUUUGUUCUCCUGAUAUGAAAUUUUUAUUCAUUUUCCUAUAGCUCAGCACUUUCAUUGUCCCUUAUACUGCUUUAUAAGGAUUAAUGUUUUAUAUUUGCUUUAUUUGUGCUUUUCAGAGAGUUGUCAUAAUCAUGGCAGUUGUGUUUGUGGUACCAUAUAUGCUGGAAUUUGUGGGAAAUUUAUAAAAUGAUUGCCUAAGUGUUAUUUCCCAUUAAAUAAAGUAGGUAUCACAAUAUCCUAAAGAAAACUGAUGACUUUUUUGAAAGUCAUACAUACAUGUUUUAUAAUCUAGGUUCAUGGUAUUUUAAUUUAAAGGCAAAGAGAAGCAUUCUGUAUUAUUUUGCCUUAUAUGAAAAAAGCUUAUUUUGUUGUACUACUUUGUACAGUAAAAAUAAGUUACAUUCUGGAGGGAGGAAAAAAAAACCCAAACUGGAAUUGUUAAAAUUUUUGUUCCUUUUGGGAAACCCCCAUGUAAACAACAGAGCUAUUUGUUAUCAUCAACUCUUGAUUGUCAGCAAGAGAAUUAUUUGUAGUCACUUUUUUUAUCCUAGGUUAGAACUGCCUUCCCUUUCUGACUUUUCCCCUUAAUAGUGUUCGUGAUGUCGGGACAGUGAAUGUAGAUGUAGUGAGGUGUUCAAAAUCAUACAUCCACAUCAUGCAUCUGUGGAUUCAAAACCUCUUCAGUUAUUUGAAUUAUCUAUAGGUGUAUUAUUUUUAUUAGCAUGGGUUGUCAGAAGUCUGCCAAAUUUAAGAGUAAAGAACAGAAAGAUGAGUAAUAAAAAUAAGAGGAAGAAAGAAAAUGGCUUCCUUAUUGGUAUUAGUAAUCAUCCAUAUAGUUUAUGAUCUAAAAAUGAUAUUUAUUUUUUAAAAUCCAAGUUUGGUACCUGUAACAUAGAAACAUUGCCUUUCCUACACAUUCCUCAUUGUCGUUUCCCAGAAAAUUAUUUUAAGAGUGUAUGAGACCAGAUUAAAUAUCCAUAUUUAAUUUGUCUAGUUUUUAAAAAUAAUUAUUUGAACUCUAGCUUUUUGUGAAUUUGGUAUACAUCAACAUUCAUGCAAAUCAAGGAUCAGAAAGAAACUGGGAAUUAGCCAUCUCCAUGUCUCCCUUUGCACAUUGGGUACAGUGGUUGGCAUUAGUAUGCACUAGCUGCAAUGUUAUAGCACCUUAUGGAAUUAAGUAGUGUUUAUUUAUUAUUAAGUAAAAAGGUUAAGCUGUAUCUCUGUAGAAUAUCUAUUUUACAGAGUGUAAAGCUGUCAUAUCAUUUCCAGCAGGAUUGAACUCCUUCAUUCUUAAUUUUUUUGAAAAAAACCUAAGUAAUUUAACAUUCCUUUAUAUUCUCUUAACAGUGUCAAAUCUGGGGUAGAAUGGAUUCCCCCCCCCCCCUCCCGCCAAAGGGCUCCAUCUUUGUUAUCUUUUGGUCGCUCUUUGAAAUCCAGUUAUGAUCAAUAGAUUUUAACAGUUGAUGGCUUCCUAUAUCAGCACUGGAGUGGUUGGUUGUGAUUAUUAAAACCUACUACUAUUUUCCCUCAGUAACAUGUAAUUGCUAUGUUUUUGAUUAGAAGGUAUGGCUAGAAAAAAUGUGAAUGAUCACUUAAACCAAAGCCAGUUAUAAGGAGUAUUCUCUCCUGUUGGUUUACCUUCACCUCAGAACUACAAGAAUAUUACAGUACACAGUGAAUAGUUGUCUAUAACAUUUCUACCAGUUGUUUCAGUAGCAUUGGUCUUGGCAUUUCUUAGCACUAUGGAUCUCUAUUUUCGGUGAUGUCUUAUUUUUUGUGAGGGUUUUCUUUUGUUUGUUUUUUUGUUUUUGUUUUUAAUAAGUGGGACUAUAAAUGUAGAUGUGUAUCAGUACCAAAUAGUUCUUUUCUCAAAUCCUUGUAUUUCUAAUUUCUAUUCAAGUCUUUUAAACCUGUUUUUUUCUUGCUGAGUAGCAAAGAACCUUUAUUUUCCUCGAAACCUAAAAAAGUAUGGACACUGCGUUUCAAUUAACUGUAUUGCAUAUAGUUUUUUGCCGAAAACUAUCUGUAAACACAAUUGCCUUGUUCAGUUUUGUUGUAAACUGAAUUACCCUAAGAUGCACUGUUGAUAUGCUUUCUGAUGUGUUUGUUUGAUAAGGGUGAUAAAAUAA